GCCCCUUUAGUUUAAUGGAUAGAACGCGACCUUGCGGAGGUUGUAGUCCAGGUUCGAGUCCUGGUUGGGGCA
Molecule: transfer RNA, 72 nt
Filed under: Candidatus Pacearchaeota archaeon CG10_big_fil_rev_8_21_14_0_10_32_14
Lineage: Archaea; Nanobdellati
Description: tRNA-Arg
Rfam family: tRNA
About the family: Transfer RNA (tRNA) molecules are approximately 80 nucleotides in length.
Source: RNAcentral